ACGGGUGAGUAACGCGUGGGUAACCUGCCUCAUAGAGGGGGACAACAGUUGGAAACGACUGCUAAUACCGCAUAGUAAGAAAGAUUCGCAUGUUUCUUUCUUGAAAGAUUUAUCGCUAUGAGAUGGACCCGCGUCUGAUUAGCUAGUUGGUAAGGUAACGGCUUACCAAGGCGACGAUCAGUAGCCGGCUUGAGAGAGUGAACGGCCACAUUGGGACUGAGACACGGCCCAGACUCCUACGGGAGGCAGCAUG
This 253-nucleotide ribosomal RNA is filed under the name uncultured bacterium. RNAcentral describes it as "partial 16S ribosomal RNA". It matches the Rfam family "Bacterial small subunit ribosomal RNA", at positions 102 to 353 of the family's 1533-position model. The record is from RNAcentral.